GAUGAAGAACGUAGCGAAAUGCGAUAAGUAAUGUGAAUUGCAGAAUUCAGUGAAUCAUCGAAUCUUUGAACGCACAUUGCGCCCCCUGGUAUUCCGGGGGGCAUGCCUGUUCGAGCGUCAUUUCACCACUCAAGCCUCGCUUGGUAUUGGGCAACGCGGUCCGCCGCGUGCCUCAAAUCGACCGGCUGGGUCUUCUGUCCCCUAAGCGUUGUGGAAACUAUUCGCUAAAGGGUGUUCGGGAGGCUACGCCGUAAAACAACCCCAUUUCUAAAGUUGACCUCGGAUCAGGUAGGGAUACCCGCUGAACUUAAGCAUAUCAAUAAGCGGAGGA
This 331-nucleotide unclassified non-coding RNA is filed under the name soil metagenome. Its description in RNAcentral is "partial contains 5.8S ribosomal RNA, internal transcribed spacer 2, and large subunit ribosomal RNA". The stretch from base 1 to 120 matches the Rfam family "5.8S ribosomal RNA", at positions 35 to 154 of the family's 154-position model. The record is from RNAcentral.